Molecule: unclassified non-coding RNA, 253 nt
Filed under: uncultured Hymenobacteraceae bacterium
Lineage: Bacteria; Pseudomonadati; Bacteroidota; Cytophagia; Cytophagales; Hymenobacteraceae
Description: contains 16S-23S intergenic spacer region
Rfam family: Bacterial small subunit ribosomal RNA
Source: RNAcentral
UACGGAGGGUGCAAGCGUUGUCCGGAUUUAUUGGGUUUAAAGGGUGCGUAGGCGGCCCGUUAAGUCAGCGGUGAAAUCCCACGGCUCAACCGUGGAACUGCCGUUGAUACUGGCGGGCUUGAGUUCGGUCGAGGCGGGCGGAACUGGUGGUGUAGCGGUGAAAUGCUUAGAUACCACCAAGAACCCCGAUUGCGUAGGCAGCUCGCUGGGCCGAAACUGACGCUGAGGCACGAAAGCUAGGGUCACGAACCGG